Molecule: ribosomal RNA, 468 nt
Filed under: uncultured bacterium
Lineage: Bacteria
Description: partial 16S ribosomal RNA
Rfam family: Bacterial small subunit ribosomal RNA
Source: RNAcentral
GACGAACGCUGGCGGCGUGCUUAACACAUGCAAGUCGAACGGAAAGGCCCUGCUUUUGUGGUGUGCUCGAGUGGCGAACGGGUGAGUAACACGGGAGUAACCUGCCCUUGACUUUGGGAAGCCUUCAGGACACUGUGUCUAAUUCCGGAUAAGCGCUCCUGCGGCAUGGUGGGGGUUGGAAAGUUUCGGCGGAUGGGGAUGGACUCGCGGCUUAUCAGCGUGUUGGUGGGGUAGUGGCUUACCAAGGCUUUGACGGGUAGCCGGCCUGAGAGGGUGACCGGCCACAUUGGGACUGAGAUACGGCCCAGACUCCUACGGGAGGCAGCAGUGGGGAAUAUUGCACAAUGGGCGGAAGCCUGAUGCAGCAACGCCGCGUGCGGGAUGACGGCCUUCGGGUUGUAACCCGCUUUCGCCUGUGACGAAGCGUGAGUGACGGUAAUGGGUAAAGAAGCACCGGCUAACUACGUG